UACAAGGAGCUUGCUCCGAACUAUUUAGUGGCGAACGGGUGAGUAUCACGUGAGCAACCUGCCCCGAAGACUGGGAUAACACCGGGAAACCGGUGCUAAUACCGGAUGUCUUUCAAUGAUCGCAUGAUCGAUGAAAGAAAUGUUUUUUCGCUUUGGGAGGGGCUCGCGGUCCAUCAGCUUGUUGGCGGGGUAACGGCCCACCAAGGCUACGACGGAUAGCUGGUCUGAGAGGACGAUCAGCCACACUGGAACUGAGACACGGUCCAGACUCCUACGGGAGGCAGCAGUGGGGAAUCUUGCGCAAUGGACGAAAGUCUGACGCAGCAACGCCGCGUGAGGGACGAAGGCUUUCUGAG
RNAcentral lists this ribosomal RNA (356 nucleotides) under uncultured bacterium. Its description in RNAcentral is "bacterial SSU rRNA". It matches the Rfam family "Bacterial small subunit ribosomal RNA", at positions 69 to 422 of the family's 1533-position model. The record is from RNAcentral.